Molecule: ribosomal RNA, 492 nt
Filed under: uncultured bacterium
Lineage: Bacteria
Description: partial 16S ribosomal RNA
Rfam family: Bacterial small subunit ribosomal RNA
Source: RNAcentral
CGUGCACGCUGGCGGUAGGCCUAACACAUGCAAGUCGAACGGCAGCACAGUAAGAGCUUGCUCUUACGGGUGGCGAGUGGCGGACGGGUGAGGAAUACAUCGGAAUCUACUUUUUCGUGGGGGAUAACGUAGGGAAACUUACGCUAAUACCGCAUACGACCUACGGGUGAAAGCAGGGGAUCUUCGGACCCUGCGCGAUUGAAUGAGCCGAUGUCGGAUUAGCUAGUUGGCGGGGUAAAGGCCCACCAAGGCGACGAUCCGUAGCUGGUCUGAGAGGAUGAUCGGCCACACUGGAACUGAGACACGGUCCAGACUCCUACGGGAGGCAGCAGUGGGGAAUAUUGGACAAUGGGCGCAAGCCUGAUCCAGCCAUACCGCGUGGGUGAAGAAGGCCUUCCGGUUGUAAAGCCCUUUUGUUGGGAAAGAAAAGCAGCAGGUUAAUACCCCGCUGUUCUGACGGUACCCAAAGAAUAAGCACCGGCUAACUUCGUG